Molecule: ribosomal RNA, 492 nt
Filed under: uncultured bacterium
Lineage: Bacteria
Description: bacterial SSU rRNA
Rfam family: Bacterial small subunit ribosomal RNA
Source: RNAcentral
AACAGUUGGAAACGACUGCUAAUACCGAUUGCCGUUACGAAGUUGGCAUCACUAUGUAACGAAAGAAUUUCGGUUCGGGAGAAUCUCGCGGCCUAUCAGCUUGUUGGUGAGGUAACGGCUCACCAAGGCUACGACGGGUAGCUGGUCUGAGAGGAUGAUCAGCCACACUGGGACUGAGACACGGCCCAGACUCCUACGGGAGGCAGCAGUGGGGAACCUUGUGCAAUGGACGAAAGUCUGACACAGCCACGCCGCGUGCGGGAAGAAGGCCUUCGGGUUGUAAACCGCUUUCAGCAGGAACGAAAAUGACGGUACCUGCAGAAGAAGGAGCGGCCAACUACGUGCCAGCAGCCGCGGUGACACGUAGGCUCCAAGCGUUGUCCGGAUUUAUUGGGCGUAAAGAGCUCGUAGGCGGCUCAGCAAGUCGGGUGUGAAAACUCUGGGCUCAACCCAGAGCCUGCACCCGAAACUGCUGUGACCUAGAGUUCAGUA